RNAcentral lists this ribosomal RNA (495 nucleotides) under uncultured bacterium. RNAcentral describes it as "partial 16S ribosomal RNA". It matches the Rfam family "Bacterial small subunit ribosomal RNA", at positions 28 to 507 of the family's 1533-position model. The record is from RNAcentral.
GACGAACGCUGGCGGCGUGCCUAAUACAUGCAAGUAGAACGCUGAAGGAGGAGCUUGCUUCUCUGGAUGAGUUGCGAACGGGUGAGUAACGCGUAGGUAACCUGCCUGGUAGCGGGGGAUAACUAUUGGAAACGAUAGCUAAUACCGCAUAAGAGUAGAUGUUGCAUGACAUUUGCUUAAAAGGUGCAAUUGCAUCACUACCAGAUGGACCUGCGUUGUAUUAGCUAGUUGGUGGGGUAACGGCUUACCAAGGCGACGAUACAUAGCCGACCUGAGAGGGUGAUCGGCCACACUGGGACUGAGACACGGCCCAGACUCCUACGGGAGGCAGCAGUAGGGAAUCUUCGGCAAUGGACGGAAGGCUGACCGAGCAACGCCGCGUGAGUGAAGAAGGUUGUCGGAUCGUAAAGCUCUGUUGUAAGAGAAGAACGAGUGUGAGAGUGGAAAGUUCACACUGUGACGGUAUCUUACCAGAAAGGGACGGCUAACUACGUG